UACGUCCUACGGGGGGCAGCAGUAGGGAAUCUUCCACAAUGGACGAAAGUCUGAUGGAGCAACGCCGCGUGAGUGAAGAAGGGUUUCGGCUCGUAAAGCUCUGUUGGUAGUGAAGAAAGAUAGAGGUAGUAACUGGCCUUUAUUUGACGGUAAUUUCUUAGAAAGUCACGGCUAACUACGUGCCAGCAGCCGCGGUAAUACGUAGGUGGCAAGCGUUUUCCGGAUUUAUUUGGCGUAAA
Molecule: ribosomal RNA, 239 nt
Filed under: uncultured bacterium
Lineage: Bacteria
Description: partial 16S ribosomal RNA
Rfam family: Bacterial small subunit ribosomal RNA
Source: RNAcentral